Molecule: long non-coding RNA, 1141 nt
Filed under: Manihot esculenta (cassava)
Lineage: Eukaryota; Viridiplantae; Streptophyta; Magnoliopsida; Malpighiales; Euphorbiaceae
Description: long non-coding RNA (MESC_LNC001401)
Rfam family: mir-156 microRNA precursor family (bases 188-271)
Source: RNAcentral
UAAGCUUUGUUUCCUACAACGGCAAGUUCGAAACAAAUACAAAACAAGGUAUGUUUAUAGAAGUAGAUGGGCGUUGAGAUUAAUUUUUGUUUUGUUGCAGCAAAAUAUCAAAUACAUGGUGACCAUCAUCAAGGGUUUCUGCAGCUAGCUUGCAUGUAUUAAUUAAUUUCUCAGGUUUGUAAGCAAGGUGACAGAAGAGAGUGAGCACUUAUGGUUUUCGUGCAUGGAUCUUCAUGCUUGAAGCUAUGUGUGCUCACUCUCUAUCUGUCAUCCACCUCUCUCUCUCAGGAAAUCUACUCAUCAUUUUUACUUAUUGAUUUCAUUUCUAUUGUAAUCUUUUCAUGAAUAUAGCUUUGUGUUCAGCAUAUAUACAUAGAGAGAGAGAGAGAGAGAGAGAUUGUGGCUCACCUUCUAAUGAUGCAGCUAUAGCUUCAGCCAACGUUUUGGUUAUUGGUGAGUUUCCUUAACUCGAUCGGAUGUUAUUCCAGCGUCUUAGCCCCUGCAGCUAGCUAUGGAAAGAGCUUACCGGCCGCCGAUGCUGCGAAUCUGUGUAGCGAGUGUAGUAUAUACACAACCCCUCAGUUUUCGGCCAGGUUCGGAAAUUUCCAGCGAGGUCUCUGGUUGGUGUUUCUCGACAUGUGUUGGCUAUAGUAAUAAUAUGGCUCAUCCUCCCUCGAGGGAAAACUCAUUUUUGUCGUUGUUCUUAUUCUAGAAUUUAAGGGUUUGAUUCGACUCUUCGAUUUUCUGCUUUUACUUGAAACUUCUCUUAAGAAGAAAUCUCAGCCAGACCCUUUUUGUUUUUUUCUUUUUACCUGCGAAGAAAAUUGCUGCAAACUGCAGCAAAGAAAAUUACAAGAAGACCAUUAGACUUUCCAGCAAUAUGAGGAUAAUAUUUCUCAAAAAUAUUAACGGAACGAAUGACAUUUAAUACACAAGACUGUAUCGUCUUAAUAGUUGUCACUAUUGUAAUAAUGUCCCAAAAGUAACAAUGAGACUUUCUUGGUUGAUUUAUUGAAAUUUGAUGGGUUUGAGACAGGAUUUUUGGAUCAGGUUUGAUGGCACGAAGAAUUUAAUGAGUUAGAGUUUAGUGGUUGAAAAAUUAAUAAAAUUAAUUAUUGAUUCGGAUAAGUUAAAGUUUUGG